This 348-nucleotide unclassified non-coding RNA is filed under the name Hevea brasiliensis (rubber tree). Lineage: Eukaryota; Viridiplantae; Streptophyta; Magnoliopsida; Malpighiales; Euphorbiaceae. The record is from RNAcentral.
GAAAGGGACCGAAUUAUGUUGUCUAAGGGUGAACAUCAAACGGUCCCAUUAUCUGUGUUGUUGAAGCGUGAAUUGGCUAAUGAGAAGAUUGAAAGUCCGGAGCUUUCUCAUGGUCAAGCUAGUCAGAGCAAAAAAGGAGAAGAUUUUACGUUUGUCAAGACGGAAUGCCAAAGAGUUUUGGGUGAUGGAGUAGCUACAUAUUCUGUUUUUGGAUUAUUUGAUGGGCACAAUGGGUCAGCGGCUGCAAUAUAUUCUAAAGAAAAUCUCUUGCAGAAUGUCUUGAGUGCUAUUCCUCCUGAUCUUAGUAGAGAUGAAUGGGUUGCAGCACUUCCUAGAGCUUUGGUUGCA